CAUUAGAGAGCCCUGUGAAGGAUACUCAGAGCUCCGCCUCCCAGCUUCCUGUUUCAAACCUGCUGCGUACGGCUGCCAACAGAACGACUUAUGGUUGUUCGCACUCCUAAAGGAUGUUACAAGAGAAUUACUCCAGCUGAAACCAAUACUAAUUCAGAAACCUGCAGACAUCUAGAAACAGCCAUCACACUUGAGAUUUACAACUGCCGAGAAGACCUGAGGUUGAAAAUAUGGAUUUUCAUUCCUUCCUCACUGAUAUGGUGAACACUGAAGAGGCAGAUGUUGUGAAAGACUUCAAUGCAAGGUCACUGCA
Physeter macrocephalus (sperm whale) is the source of this 313-nucleotide long non-coding RNA. RefSeq lists it as uncharacterized. The record is from RefSeq and is a predicted model, not a curated record. The transcript is spliced from 3 exons. Lineage: Eukaryota; Metazoa; Chordata; Mammalia; Artiodactyla; Physeteridae.